UAACCAGACUCCUACGGGAGGCAGCAGUGAGGAAUAUUGGUCAAUGGACGAGAGUCUGAACCAGCCAAGUAGCGUGAAGGAUGACUGCCCUAUGGGUUGUAAACUUCUUUUAUAUGGGAAUAAAACAGGGUAUGCAUACCCUCUUGUAUGUACCAUAUGAAUAAGGAUCGGCUAACUCCGUGCCAGCAGCCGCGGUAAUACGGAGGAUCCGAGCGUUAUCCGGAUUUAUUGGGUUUAAAGGGAGCGUAGGUGGAUUGUUAAGUCAGUUGUGAAAGUUUGCGGCUCAACCGUAAAAUUGCAGUUGAAACUGGCAGUCUUGAGUACAGUAGAGGUGGGCGGAAUUCGUGGUGUAGCGGUGAAAUGCUUAGAUAUCACGAAGAACUCCGAUUGCGAAGGCAGCCUGCCGCAGCGUUACUGACGCUGAAGCUCGAAAGCGCGGGUAUCGAACAGGAUUAGAUACCCUCGUAGA
Molecule: ribosomal RNA, 469 nt
Filed under: uncultured bacterium
Lineage: Bacteria
Description: bacterial SSU rRNA
Rfam family: Bacterial small subunit ribosomal RNA
Source: RNAcentral